This 575-nucleotide ribosomal RNA is filed under the name Curtobacterium flaccumfaciens. RNAcentral describes it as "bacterial SSU rRNA". It matches the Rfam family "Bacterial small subunit ribosomal RNA", at positions 848 to 1384 of the family's 1533-position model. The record is from RNAcentral. Lineage: Bacteria; Bacillati; Actinomycetota; Actinomycetes; Micrococcales; Microbacteriaceae.
UAGCAAACGCACUUAAGCGCCCCGCCUGGGGAGUACGGCCGCAAGGCUAAAACUCAAAAGGAAUUGACGGGGGCCCGCACAAGCGGCGGAGCAUGCGGAUUAAUUCGAGAAACGCGAAGAACCUUACCAAGGCUUGACAUACACCGGAAACGGCCAGAGAUGGUCGCCCCCUUGUGGUCGGUGUACAGGUGGUGCAUGGUGUCGUCAGCUCGUGUCGUGAGAUGUUGGGUUAAGUCCUCGCAACGAGCGCAACCUCGUUUAUGUUGCAAGCGGGUUAUGCCGGGGACUCAUAGGAGACUGCCGGGGUCAACUCGGAGGAAGGUGGGGGAUGACGUCAAAUCGAUCAUGCCCCCUAUGUCGUAUGGGGCGUUCACGCAUCGCUGACAAAGGCCGCGGGAAACAAAAGGGGCAUGGCGAUGACCCGUUAAAGGGAUGGACGCGAAUCCCAUAAAAGCCGGUCGUCAGUAUGCGGAGUGUAGAGGUACGUGCAACAUCGACGCAUCUACUGAAGUCGGAGUCAGCUAGUAAUCAGCAGAGUGCAGCAACAGCGCGGGGAAUACGGUCCCGGGCCCUGU